Pan troglodytes (chimpanzee) is the source of this 2548-nucleotide long non-coding RNA. RefSeq lists it as uncharacterized. The transcript has 4 exons. The record is from RefSeq and is a predicted model, not a curated record. NCBI's taxonomy places the organism in Eukaryota, Metazoa, Chordata, Mammalia, Primates, Hominidae.
UGCCUGAGAUUCCAUUGUGAUGUUAGAAUUCACAUUCUCAUUCUUAUUCAAUAGAACUGACUCGUUCACCAGAGCACCUAUUAUGUUCCAGGUGGUAUUAUAAGAACUUGGGAGACAUCACCAAACAAAAUAGAAAAAUCCCUGCCCUUAUGGAGCUGACAUUCUAGUGGGGGCUUGGUUUUUCUCCUUGGGUACUGGGUUUGUUUUUCCAUGAUGAGCAUAUCCUAUGAUGCACUAUAGCACUCAAGCAAGAUGUCUGAAGCAAAGGAGGCCAAAGUAAUAAUUCAUGGAUUCAGCACACUUUCCUUUGUUGAAAAGUGCUGCUUGUUACCCCUCAAAGCUAUGUGAGAGGCUGUGUAGGAGAGAGUGGAGAGCAGGUAGCCUACUGGACCUACAGUUCACCAUUUCAGCCCUGUAAUUGACCAGCUGUGGGACCUCAGAUGCUGAAAGCAAAGUUCAUGUGGGAAAUGUUUGGCAAUAGCUGAUUUAUCCUCAGGAUGCAAAGUCCUGUCCAUUUGCUUCCAUGAACUCUGUACUUAUCGAUGAUAUAAUACUCUGCUGACUACAUUUUACUUGCCGCUUCAUAUCCUCACUAGACUGAAAGACCUAUAAGGGAAGAGAUAUCUUAUUUAUAUAUCUUUCUUAUAUAUCUUUCCCAUAUAUCCUACUUACUGUUGUACUUACAACUCCUACAACCGUGCUUGGUACAUAGGAUGUUGAAAAAGUAUUUAUGAAAUUAUGAAUAACACUGAUUCUAUUAAAUAACAUUAUUAAGUUAAUGAACAAAUAAUUAAGUUUAGUAAAAUAUCAAAAGUUAAAGAUAUCAAAAACUAAACACUUAUAGAAUAAAAGUUUGCUUUUCUUGUCUAGUGAGCACAUUAAUACAGAUUUUAACCCUCUUUUGUCCUCUCCUGACUCACACGAAAAAAUACAUAGGCCUCAGCUGUUCAUUGGUGCCAGAUAAAAAUAAAGUACUUUUUAAUUGUAAUUACUGCAAACGCUCUUCAACAGUGCACAGUAUACCAGGAACUGAAACUUUUCUUAUAAAACAAAAUAAAUAUCAGUAGAAACAGAGCAAAGGCAUUUCAUUAAGUAUUAUGGACUGAAUUGCAUUCCCUGUAAAUACAUGUGUUAAAGUCUGAACUCUCAGUACACCUCAGAAUAUGACUGUAUUUAGAAAUAGGGCCUUUAAAGAGGUAGUUAAGGUUAAAUGAGAUCAUGUGGAUUGGUCUUAAUCUAAGAUGACUGGUGUCACUAUAAGAAGAGGAGAAGACACCAGAGAUGCAACUGCACAGAGAAAAGGUCAUGUGAGCAGGGAUCCCCAAACCCUGAGCCAAGAACUGACAGUGGUCCAUGGCUUGUUAGGAACCAUGCCACACAACAGGAGGUGAGCCAAAGGCAAGGGAGCAAAGCUUCAUCUGUAUUUUUAGCCGCUCCCCAUUGCUCACAUUACCUCCUGAGCUCUGCCUCCUGUCGGAUCAGUGGUGGCAUUAGAUUCUCAUAGGAGUGCACACCCUAUUGUGAACUGCGCAUGAGAGGGAUCUAGAUUGCAUGCUCCUUAUAAAGUCUAAUGCCUGAUGAUCUGAGGUGGAGCUGAGGUGGUGAUGCUAGCUCUGAGGAGUGGUUGCAAACACAGAUUAACAUUAGCAGAGACAUUUGACUGCCCAGAGACCAUAAUAAAUCAGUUGCCUGCAGAUGCAUAUCAAAACCCUGUCAGUGAGUGGCAGCUGAUAAUUCAGCUGCAUCUGGGGGCUGGCUUUAUAGUGGCAAGUGAGUUGAUGUACUUCAACUGUACAGCUGCAUCUGGUUGCUGGCUUUAUAGUGGCAAGUGAGUUGAUGUACUUCAACUGUACAGCUGCAUCUGGUGGCAGGCUUUAAGUCAGAAUCUGACACUUAUUUUAGUCCAUGUGUGUCCUGCCCAUUAUUUUAUUUGUCACUUCCAUCCGCACCUCUUUCCUGCACUGCACACUUGUCUCAAUCAGUUUUGGUAAGCCCACAAGCUAACCCUAGCCAAAAUGAAUAAAAACAAUCAUCACUGGAGAGUUUCUUUGAAAAGGGGGAAAGAACCAAUGAUGAGACAGCAGAAGACUCUAAGACUGCCAACAAAAAGAAAGCUGCAUUUAAAAGAAAAUACUGGCCGGGCGCGGUGGCUCAUGCCUGUAAUCCCAGCACUUUGGGAGGCCGAGGCGGGCGGAUCACGAGGUCAGGAGAUUGAGACCAUCCUGGCUAACAUGGUGAAACCCCGUCUCUACUAAAAAUACAAAAAAUUAGCUGGGCAUGGUGGCAGGUGUCUGUAGUCCCAGAUACUCGGGAGGCUGAAGCAGGAGAAUGGCGUGAACCUGAGAGGCAGAGCUUCCAGUGAGCCGAGAUCGUGCCACUGCACUCCAGCCUGGGUGACAGAGCGAGACUCCAUCUCAAAAAAAAAAAAAAAAAAAGAAAAUACCAUGAGUCCUACUUAAAUUACAGGGUCAUUGCACCAGAUAAUUCACAUUCUCCAAGCCCUCUUUGUAUAAUAUGUGGUGGUUGGCUAUGCAAUGAAGCCAUGAAA